RNAcentral lists this ribosomal RNA (314 nucleotides) under Tetraclita serrata. RNAcentral's name for it is "partial 12S ribosomal RNA". It matches the Rfam family "Microsporidia small subunit ribosomal RNA", at positions 773 to 1200 of the family's 1311-position model. The record is from RNAcentral. Lineage: Eukaryota; Metazoa; Arthropoda; Thecostraca; Balanomorpha; Tetraclitidae.
GAAAUUUAACGGAUUUGGCGGCAAGAUAGCCCCUUAGAGGAACCUGCCCUGUAAACGAUGAACCACGAGGGACUCUACUUUCUUUGGUAGUCAGUUUGUAUACCGCUGUUGUCAGUUAGAUUCUUGAGAAUAUUUUCGUUUAUGAAAAGUUCAUUGACUUCAAGUAAAGGUGCAGCUUAUAAGGAAGAUAGAGGUGGGUUACAUUUAUGAGAAUAAAACGGAAAGGAUGAAUGAAACAAUCCUUGAAGGUGGAUUUAACUGUAAAACUUAAGUAGGUUUGGUGAGAGCUCUAUCUUGUGUACACACCGCCCGUC